UGUCAUCAUGCAGUAUGUCUGUUAUGAUUAUAGAAGAACAGGGUGUUUUCAUUACAUAUCAGACCUAGUGCAAAAUUGUAUUGCAUUUAACACACUAACGUUAACUGAUUGAUUGAAUAUAUUAUUGUGUAUUCACAUAAUUACAGUGAUAUUCAUAUCCAUGCUUUUGCCUGUUUUCACCACGAGUGAACACCAGCGCAGCACCUUUUGCGCAUGCGUUUGUGUACUGUCCCCUGACAAAAUCGGCACGCUCGCUGACGGUUGAGUCAGAAAUUUCAGCGAAACUAUUUGGAAAAGUUCACCGCUAUAACUUACUCCUUCCAGAAUCAUGUUGAACGAUAGUACAUACUUGAUAGAACUUUCCAACAACACGUUCCGUUGGUGGGAUUCAUGUUUAAUUAAAUGUAUUUACGCAUUGUGUUGGUAAAUACAUAUUGUAUGCUUCUCUUUAGAUCCUGUUCCUCUACGAAAUCAGAUUAUUUAAAAAAUGAUUUGGACCCAUCCAAUAUUUAGUUAUUGAUAAUCAAUAGUAUAGUCAAAGAUGGUUUAGAAAUUCUGUGGUAUAACGUUCAGUGCAGCUCUGGUUUUAUCCACCAGGUGGCUACAUUGCACCAACAUAAAUUGAAAAGAGGCAGUGCUGAACUGUAAACUUCACGAGUCCCAGUCGAAUUGAUUGACAUAAUAUCAUAAACGGUACAAUGAGAUGUGUUUCUGCUGCUGAUGCAAAUGUUUGUUGAAAAAUGCCCUAACUUGUAUUUUUACACCCCUUCACUAUGUUUCACUCUGAGACUGCUUGCCGAUCUAAUUCCAACCCACUAUGGAUCAGACAUGGAUGUUGAAAUGGGUGUGGAUAUAAAGGAUGUUUUUAUGUUGCAAUAGAAUAGCUCCUAUAACAAUAUCUGAAAGGUUGUAAAAAAUCUCUGUGGACACAACAGAAUUCUCCUUUCCACACUCCCUGCACCACCUUUGAUAGAAACACCCCUAGACUGAAAUGUUAAAUCAUUUUAAAGAUUCCUUUUUUUUAAGAGGGCAUAAUGUCUUUCAAAUUCAGAGUGAAACGAGGUGACACAUUUUCUCAGGGGUUAUUGGAGGAAUGAUGUGGUGUGCUAAUAUUCACCCAGAGAGACAAAGAAGUCUCUUUGUGCUCAAGGUUGUGAUUUAGCCUCAUUUCCUUCUCUAAUGGAAAUAUCAAACAGCUAAUGCUUACUGUAUGACUAGUAUGGACCCUAAUGCUCUCUCUCUCCCUGUCUGUCUCUGUCCCCUCUAUUCUAAAGGCAUAUGAGGUGGAGGACCUGACUGCAACAGACAUCCCCUGACUGCUCUGUGUGUCUAGACACAACACCUACAGUACUGUCUGUCUGUGUCUCUUCCUGUGUGUCACUGAUCUACCACCUUCUUUAUGGACCUGUCUCACCUUCUCUUCUAGUCUUGCUCUUUUUUAAGAGGAAUUGUUCUUUUAAUUACGUUUCAAUUUCAGAGAAACUCAUUAAUAACAAUUUUUUGAGUUUAAUCCAUUCUCCCUGCAGGCUUUCUUAAUGAUCUUUCUAUCUUGAUCCCUAUAUGUCCAUUUGAAUCUCCUUUUCUCCUUUCUGGGAUUUGCAACCCUCUUCAAAGGUCAGAUAUUCCCUAUCUCUACAUGUAGUCAACCUGCAUAAAGCUGUGUUAACCCCAAUUGGCUGUGAGCCAGCCUAUACACACUAACUCGUUUAAUCAGCAGUCAUCUGAUCUGGCCAAUACUCACAGUGUGCCCAAGCAUACUGUGAUAAUUAUCAUAUAAAUUGAUUUUAUGCUAAUGAUAUGAGCUGUUAUAUUCUGAAAUCCAGAGAUAAGUGAAAAUGAGAGGAAGGAACUUGACAGUGAGAGGAUUUGGGAUUUUACUUUAUCUGACUGACACCUCUCUUUACCCUCACCCACUUCUCUGUCCGUAUUCCCCCUUUCUUUUUCGCCUUUUCUCUUUCAUGAAGCUGCUGGCUUUGGGAGGAGGGUGCUGGUCCUUGACUUGGUGGCUCCCACCCCUAAAGGCACUAAAUGGGGUCUAGCUGGUUCCAGUGUGAGCAUGGGCAGUAUUCCCAGGAAGCUCCUGCACCAAGCCUCUGCUGGGAAAAGCCAUCAAGGAUGCCCGGAAGUACUGCUGGAAGUUUGAGGAACAGGUGUCCCAGGGCUAGGGUGAAAUGGUGGAGGCGGUACAACAACAUGUGAAGUCUGUGAGCUUUGAGCUGAGGAGGGAGCUGAGGGACAGUGAUGUCACCUACCUGAACGCCCAUGGAGAGAUACUGGAGCCACACACUGUACAGGCGACAAGAUGUCAACGGGAGGAGGACCUAUCACACAUCAGAGACACUCGUCAUCGCCACGGGGAACAGGGCACAAUACCUGGACAUACAGUUGAGGAGCGUGUGGUAGGUCUCCAUUUGAUGGGGCCCAGUGCAGGGGAGGUGAUCCAGGGCUUUGCUUUGGCUCUGAGGUGUGGUCUGAUCAAACAGCAGCUGGACACUACUUUGGGACUCCACCCUGUUUGUGCCCAGGUGUUGACCAAACUGACAGUAACUCAGCGUGCCACUGACACCAUGAUGGUCAGAGGGAACUGCUGAGGUUAGCCCCCUGCUGUCAAUCACUGUUGUCCAAGGCAACGGUACAGAUAGCAGGGAGAAGCCUGUCAGAACAUCCUCAUUGUUGAGUGACGGGCAGCUAUCAGCCGUCUAAUGACGUCUGAGUCCGGAGCCUGAUUGACAGGUGGGCCGGGACUGACACUGCUGCUGCUGGCCCAAGACACUGGGGUCACUUCCCGUUUACAUGUUUUUUUUCUUCUCUUUUAAACUCUUUCUUUUGCCAUAUUAAUGAACCAAACUUUGAUAUUAACCUGCGGAGGCACCUCUGACACCUUUCAGCUGUGAACUCUGCAGUCCAUAUGAAUACUCAUUAGUCUGUGACUGUACUGACUCAGUUUAAUGCCUGCUGAGUAGCAAUAAAGCCCUGAUUGAGCAUUUAAAUACUGUGGAAACACAGUUCAUGCUUUUAUGCAGGGUUCUGUAGCUACGGGCUGAAGGGAUUUAAGUGCCAUAAUGUAAUGUAAUGAACGGAUCGAGAUUAAACUAUUAUCAGAAUUAAGAAAUAGUCAUUAAUAAAAUGCUCUUUUAAUGAAAGUAAGUGGUUCACAUAGGGAUACAUUAACCUAAGACUACAAUCUCUCUGACUGUCUUUUUCUCUCUCACUAUCUCCAUUUGUCAUUCUCUCUGUCUCAGUUCUGCAGGACAUAGUGACUGCCUUAAACACUGUGAUGAAUAUUCACAGGGAUCAUUAGUAAGGUCUCAUACUAAUGGGAGGGGAGACAGGGGCAAAAGGCUACAACAGAACCCCCCCUAAUAAGGCUAUUAACAUCCAUCACUUCAGACACAAACAUUACCUACAAUUCAGAGUAAGCACGUGUGUGUGCAUGUAUGUGUUUGUGCUGUAUCUCUCUCUUUUAUGCAGACCUCUCUCUUUUAUGCAGACACUUUUUCACCUGUCAGCACAUAAUCACCGGUAUGUCCCCAUGGAACAUUGUAGAGGCAUGCUUCACCAACGAUUUAGUUCUGCUUGAGGAAGACAUUUUUUAUUACUGCUUACAGUUCAGCUUGUCCUCUAGACAACCUUGCUAUUUAUUCCUUAUGCAGACACAUUGAGCAUUCAGAGACUGAGACUGAUGUACCAAUAAGGGAAAGUACACCAGUCUACAAACGCUAUUAGAAUAUAAUUAGAUCAAUAGAAGGAAAGCGGAACAGUGUCUGUCUUGAGAUGUAUUUGAUAUCACCCAGAACAAGUUAUUAGGAAUACCAUUCAGCUAUGUCUCCAAUUGUCCUAGUUAUAAUCAUAUAACGAUACAUUUAUUCAAAUUUUUGUCACUUUGCUUUGGGAUCUUUUCAGAAGGUAUUUCCAUUGGUUUUUAGAAUAGAUCACUGUGGACUUGCUCAAUAAAGAUCCACAGUGAAGGUGUCCUAAUACCCAUAAAACCUAGCGGUCAAACAGGAAAAUGGUUCCAAUCGUUUUUCCACCAUUUAUUUUUCCCAUUGGGGAUUUAAAAUAAGGGCUGUGUUUCAUGUAGUCUUACCAUGGCGUGACAUUUUGAUAACCAUGUAAAUAUCUUUCAGACAAGCCCCACAUUUCUUGCAAAGAAAUUAUACAUGUUAUUUUUUGGGGUGGGGGGGUUGCCUGUUUUGCAUGUUAUUUUGGCAUUAAUAUGUGUCACAUACCAGUUUGCAAACAAUGUAAAAAAAAAACAUAUAGAAAUAUCAUUGAGUUAAUAAAGCUGCAUACAAACAUAGUC
This is a long non-coding RNA of Salvelinus fontinalis (brook trout), 4303 nucleotides long. RefSeq lists it as uncharacterized. The transcript is spliced from 6 exons. NCBI's taxonomy places the organism in Eukaryota, Metazoa, Chordata, Actinopteri, Salmoniformes, Salmonidae. The record is from RefSeq and is a predicted model, not a curated record.